UCACCUAGGAUAGCAGUGUGUCAGCAUGGUAGAUCAGAUAUUUUUUCUCCCACCCACUGCACUUAAACCCCUUGUGUUUCUCUAUUCCCAUCUCUUCCACAAACGACAUGUUAACCGAAGCAUUCCAAUGAUUCCAUAUUAAUUUGUAUCACUUUGUUGUCAUUUGCAGAGGAGCAAUGUCUAUUCACGGGUUAAUGCUGUACGGACCAGAAUCCGUGAUACUUCAGAGAGAGGUACUAGCCCUGGUGAAUUAAGGAGGAUUUCUAGUGUUUCUUAGGAGAAUUUUGUAGCACAAUUUAAGGCUAGUGAGUCUGGUAGUGGUGGAGAAUGCAAGGAGGUUUAGAGGAAGUUUGUUGGAGACUUCUACUAAGGCAAGGUUGCUUGCUGGGAACUCCAAAUGAAUAUAGGUUGCCAGGGGUAAGCAAGCUAAUGAAUUGAGAUGAAUAUCCAUAAUGGUCUCUCUAGAAGCUGUCAUCUGAUCCUAACCUCAAUGAAGCUUCUCAAGGUAUGCUUUUGGUUGUACGCACAGAAGGACCAUAUAAUGCCAGGACGUUUGUUUUAAGGAAAAUGAGGAAUAUUUUGAGUUGUUGGCGGCCAAGGUAAUGAAGAAGGAAACAUAAAGAACAGGUCAGUAUUACAUAAUGCUCAGAAGAAUGAUACAUUGUAAGGCUAGUGAUCUUCUUAAAUGCAAUAAUGGAUGCUUUUCUGGCAGUGCAUCGUUUGCAGAGUUUCCAAUUUAGCUUGACACUGUCUCUUGGCAUUCAGGUUACCAUCAUUCUAUAAGUGUACAUACUGGUGCACCUGUAAUACAAGUGUACAAAAUGGUGCACCUGUAACAAGAUGAGUGCAGGUUGAUUUCACUGCCAUUCUCAUCCUAGAAACAAGCAUAUUUUAUUUUUCUUUGACCACACCCAAGAUAAACAUACGUAUCAUUUUUACUAAGCUCUAAAUGGCAAAUAUGACUAUCUUUGUGAAACAGAUGACUACCUAGUUCUAUAAAAGCUUGCAACUAGUAUUACGAAGGUGCCUUUGCAUGGUGAAAUUAUUAACAUAUGUUUGGGUUUCUUUUGAAUGUGUUUGUUAUGGGGACUAAUGUGAUUAACUUUAUUUGUUAUGGAGAGAGAAGACAUGUUAUAAAUGGUUCAAUGGGCUCGGAUGUAAGAGCUCAUUUGAAACAAAUGCAACCACAUCGAACUUUCCCAUGAUUACAACGAGUAAUUCAUGUGAAGGUCCUAAAAGAGUUAAAAGCUACAGUUGUUUGUGGGGAUGAACAUGUUAAAUUAUCAGGUGCAUUUGAGACACUGGCAGCACAUAUGAUGAUUUUAGUAUGCACAAGGAUGAGCCAUGAGCCAGAUUGGGAUACACAGACUGGUGGAUUCACUUCUGUAGAUGAGGCUAAAAUUUGUCUUAGGUGGACAAUUUAAGUUGUGUGUAAUGUACA
Papaver somniferum (opium poppy) is the source of this 1441-nucleotide long non-coding RNA. RefSeq lists it as uncharacterized. The transcript is spliced from 4 exons. NCBI's taxonomy places the organism in Eukaryota, Viridiplantae, Streptophyta, Magnoliopsida, Ranunculales, Papaveraceae. The record is from RefSeq and is a predicted model, not a curated record.